This 313-nucleotide unclassified non-coding RNA is filed under the name plant metagenome. Its description in RNAcentral is "partial contains 5.8S ribosomal RNA, internal transcribed spacer 2, and large subunit ribosomal RNA". The stretch from base 1 to 106 matches the Rfam family "5.8S ribosomal RNA", at positions 50 to 154 of the family's 154-position model. The record is from RNAcentral.
GAAAUGCGAUAAGUAAUGCGAAUUGCAGAAUUUCCGUGAGUCAUCGAAUCUUUGAACGCACAUUGCGCCCUUUGGUAUUCCGAAGGGCAUGCCUGUUCGAGCGUCAUUACAACCCUCAAGCUCUGCUUGGUAUUGGGCUUCGCUGGAGCAAUCCGGCGGGCCUCAAAGCUAUAGGCGGCGGUGCCCCUGCUUUAAGCGUAGUAAAGUUUUUCUUUCGCUUGUAGGUGGAGGCGCUGCUUGCCUGAUAACCCGGGCCCUGCCCACUUUCUCAGGUUGACCUCGGAUCAGGUAGGGAUACCCGCUGAACUUAAGC